UUGAAAGGGAAACGAUUGAAGUCAGUCGUGCUGGCGCGAAAUCAACCUUCUCGUCUUGAGAUCANAUGGCGUGGGAGCCCUCAAAACCGCCCCGAAGCGUGAACUCUUGGUGAAAUGGAGACUUUCGUGUCCGCUGGUUAACACCAAUUUCGAACGUCAUAAAAAGCCUGGAGGGAUGUGGCUCCUUCGGGAGUGUUAUAACCUUUAGCGGAAUGUGGUGUUCGGGAUUGAGGAUUGCANNGAAUACCUUUAGGGCUCUUCCCCCUGGCUCUUCAUUUGGUAUCCUGGUGCUGACAGCUUGCUGACGUUGUUAGGAUUCGCCUUUGAACAUCCCNNGNNCNGANCNAANCGUUAAGGAUGUUGACGUA
RNAcentral lists this ribosomal RNA (368 nucleotides) under uncultured Glomeromycotina. RNAcentral's name for it is "partial large subunit ribosomal RNA". Lineage: Eukaryota; Fungi; Glomeromycota. The record is from RNAcentral.